RNAcentral lists this unclassified non-coding RNA (180 nucleotides) under uncultured Acremonium. Its description in RNAcentral is "sequence contains ITS2". Lineage: Eukaryota; Fungi; Ascomycota. The record is from RNAcentral.
CAACCCUCGAGCCCCUACGGGCUUGGUGUUGGGGAUCGGCCGCCGCCCACGGCCGGCCGGCCCCGAAAUGCAGUGGCGGUCCCGCCGCAGCGUCCUCUGCGUAGUAGCACACACCUCGCACUGGAACGCGGCGCGGCCACGCCGUAAAGCAAAGAGGCGCCCGCCUCUUUCUCUUCAAGG